GAGAGGCUGAAGUUUCCACGGAGGGCACCGUCGGGGAGACGCAGCCCGCGAGGACGGAAGGGUUGGACUUGCUACCUCUGCACACCGGCGAGCCGGGACUCCGUCUCUCAGAAGAGAAGAAAGAAUACUGGGAGACCAGGAAGAUACUGUUAUAUCCCCAUCUCCACUGACAUCCUGUUAUUAAGUGAAAGAGGAAUGUUCAUGGCUUUUAAUGGGUCAUGACAAGUGGUGCCGAAACCCGGGAAUUGCUAAACCUCGUCGCGACCUGAUCCGCUGACCCUGGUGCCUGCCGAUGAACAUCGCUGGACGCCGUUCAGUCAGCUGGCCAGACCGGGAGAGGGAACCGAGGAGGGACCAGCAGAACCCCGUUUGGGUGCCUGAACGUCUGAUACGC
This is a non-coding RNA of Manis javanica (Malayan pangolin), 394 nucleotides long. Lineage: Eukaryota; Metazoa; Chordata; Mammalia; Pholidota; Manidae. The record is from RefSeq and is a predicted model, not a curated record.